Molecule: long non-coding RNA, 179 nt
Organism: Phacochoerus africanus (Common warthog)
Lineage: Eukaryota; Metazoa; Chordata; Mammalia; Artiodactyla; Suidae
Exons: 3
Source: RefSeq, a predicted model, not a curated record
GCCUGGCAGGGAGAAGUGAAGCCAGAGUCCUAAGGUUCUCCAGGUGUGACUUUGCUCUUGGACAAAGGAUGCUACCCUCUCUCGCAGGUCACCCCAUCCUCAAAGUUGGAGUCUGGCAGUGAACUGCACGGAGUCCCUUCUGUUUCUGCAGGGCCACACCCACGGCAUUUGGACGUCGU